This is a long non-coding RNA of Oryzias latipes (Japanese medaka), 5192 nucleotides long. RefSeq lists it as uncharacterized. Lineage: Eukaryota; Metazoa; Chordata; Actinopteri; Beloniformes; Adrianichthyidae. The record is from RefSeq and is a predicted model, not a curated record.
AAAUGGGAAUGAUGUUUUGGUUAUUUUGCUAUUUGUUUAUAUACACCACAAAUUAUAUCCUUAUUGCAAUAUUAAUCUCUAAUAUCGCAUAUCGCGAGUUUUCCUCAUAUCGUGCACUUAUCGUUCUCGCACACAUUUUGCUGGCUUUAAAUUGUUUCAACUCCGAAAAAUGUUUUCAUAUAAUGAUUAACAAAGUGUAGAGAGAAAUGAUUCUACAGCAAUUCGUCUCAACCCAUUGUUGUCAACCCCAACACUUAAACACAGCUUUGAAUAAAAAUCAGGUUUCUACUUUCUGUUUGAUGUUUUCUGAAAACAAUUGUAGGGGACAAAACUUGAGACAAGGGAUUUCAUUAUCAACUUAUGAAGUUUUAACAAAAAGAAGAUUUUGAUCUACUUUUAAAGGGUCCAUGUCAGAUGUUGAUUGAUUACAUUUAAAUUGUGUUGAGAUAGUGUCUGUGGUGUCACGUAUUUGCACCAAAAGGUCAGUAAUCAAAGUCAAACGUUCAUUUUCAUUUGUUCAAGGGCAAUCAGAUGGAUUUCCCUUAAGGUUCAGAAGUUUCGUGUCUUCUUUCUUUUUCUGGGAUCUGUACGUUAUGACCUUAGCCUAAGGCAUUAAACAUGAGCUUUUGAGUUUAAAGUUUUCUGCAGUUUGCAGACAUCCUGUAAAUGGUAUGCAACAACUUUUAUACAUUAAGAUGCCUGCGAAACAAAUCACAACAUAAACAUUACAGAAUAUUAUGACUCGGAAUUUCCAUAGCUAGUCAAUAAAUCCUAUGGAUACAUUAAACCUGAUUGUGUUUCUUUUUUCUUGCAUCUCAUACUUAAUGAUCCCACAGAACAUUGGAUAUUAUGUUGAUGGUUAACUCAUGUCUUAGAAACAGUUUGCAACAGCAACAAAAAAACUUUUGCAACCUGGCAGCAAAGUUCCCUCUGUUUCAAGUUUUGGUUAAAAAAAAAAUUGUACCAGGUAUUUCCAUGAAAGAGAACGUGAAAAAUACUUGAUAACACUUUGUCCUGCAGGGAAACCUUUAUUUCCCACAUUCUUGUGGAUUUUACACCAGCAAACCAAAUCCCCCCCCCCCCCUUCCCCCCCCGCAAAGCAGCCUCAUUUUGCAGGUUAUUAAGACAGAACAUGGCUGAGACCAUGUUGACUUUCAAACAUCCCAUAUGGCUGUUCGAUUUGAGUAUCUACGAGUAUGCCUAACCCAGUGAUAAGCUGCCAACACCCACCAACCCUUGCACAAAAUACUGAAGAACACCCCUGAAGUACAGCUGCUAUGCCCUUAAGAGAUAAACUUGUUCCAUCACAAUAUAGGCAAAAAGUAACAUUUUGAUUAUAAGCUUAAGGUAACUUCGAAAAAGGUGGAAAAAGUCACAAUAGUCACUCAUGGUUAUCAAAAUCUAUCUACUUCUCAAAACUGGGUACCCAGAAUUCCAUGCAACAAAUUAAGAUUAAACUGACAAUAACACCUCCAUUCACCUUUAACCCUGAGCACUAAUCUUCCCACUACUUCUAGCUCAAAAUAUAACCAUUGCAGAAACACUGUUUGUAUGGGAUUGGUGGACUUCCUUCCUAAAGGAAACCCAACAGCACAAUUAGACAGAAGUUGCAGUGAAAAACAUACAGGAACGUCUCCUGUUCUGUCAAGCUGAAUUAAGACAAUGAAGCAGAUGGACUAAAAACUGAAAUAGGGGUAAGUCAGUACAACAUGUUAAAGCAAAAAUCAAAACUCUCAAGUUAAUGAGGGAUGGAGUGUAACUCUUUCUCCACAGAUUAGAACCAUUCUCAGGUUUAUCCUUUAAUAUUUGUGUAGGCACAUUUUGUGGCAAUCCCUCUUUGCUCCAGAGACUUGUGGCAGUGUUUUCAUCAUUUCAGUGUAUUACAUAACCGCAGCAGAUACAACAAACUUUGUCCAAAAACAAUUAAGAGGCUAUUACAGCCAUAACACAUAAUGAAGCAUUCCAAAUCUGUUUUUUAGGGUUGCUCACUGCACAGCGAACAACCUUUGGAGGGGAUUUAAGGCUUUGCUGAGAUGCAAGUGCAUUUUCGAUUGAAACAAACUUUGUAUUUGCAAAUAUAGCAGCAGAAAUCCAACCUAUUGAACUUUGAGCGGUGGCCUCCUUUCACUGGCAGAGACUCAAUCAUAACAUCUUAUCUACGGACAUGCUGAUUCAUGGAAUUCAGCCGUGGCCAAUAGCCAGGCAGUGGGGUUACUUAUGACAGUCAUUGAUUGGUUGAUCCCUGAGCACAGAGCUAAAAGGGCACAUACCAGGAACACAGCCUGAAGCAGAAACUGGCAGCAGUUUGCUCACGCUUUGCUUCACUCUCAGUCUUCUUGCUGCUGUUUUCCCACUGACAAUCGACUUUAAUCUGUCUCCUCUGCCCCCCCCCCAAAAUCUCAGAUUCUGUUCUCUUUCCACCAACAUUGAAGUACCACAGCCUGUAGUCCUCACUCUUCCGUUGUGUCAUUGUGUAUUGAAAAGCACCCAAGCCAUGACGUCCAAAGGUUACCAUGCCUCUCUGACUUACAUCCUGGUCCUUCAUCUCCAUGGUCACUCAAAUUCCAGCAUUUCAAUCCAUUUUUUGCCUGGAAAUAUGAAGUUCACUGUUGCAGUCCCUCAGCAGAGUUACUAAGCCAAUAUUUCAGACAUUAAUCAUAUCCAAAGCACUCAAUUUUCAGUAGAAUGACCAAUUAAUAAUGUAUUUGUAUUGAAAAAGCAAUACCAUUAUAAACGAAGUUGGAGUUAAAGAGGGAAGGCAAUCUAUGCCUCUUACUGGCUAAAUUCAGAACUACUUUCAAAUCUUAAAGAGAGACAAUUUGUUAGCCAAAUACAAAAAGAAUAGAAAAAAGGCCAGUGUUUCAUCCAAACCGUUUUCUGUCUUGAACAUAUCCUGGGUACAAAUAUUGAUGUUGAUUUAGGGUCUGUUCACUCAUACAUAAAAUUGGUGGUCCAGCAUUCAGGGUUGUGCUGGCUCCAACAGAGGAGAGACACUACAGAGGCCUUUAUGUCAGCCUAUCCCCAUCUGUAGUUCUAUAAUGAGCAAGGGAGAAGACCCACUGUGGGAGUGAAGAGGACCUCAGUUCUGCUGAAGCAGACAAACGUUCUGAUGGAAAUUCAGAUACAAUCAUCCCAGAAUGCACUUUCACUGCCUAAUAAUCAGCCACUAGAACAAGGCGGCCAUUGAGAGGAGAGCGACAGUAAUCCGGUCCACCAAACUCCAAAGCUACCCGCUAUAAUUAGCCCCUUUCUCAAUCAAAUACUGACUAACAAGCAAAAUUCUGAAGAAACACACGACAGAGGAAAUUUAGUGACCAGCAUAAAUUAACAAAAGGAAAGGUUUGACAUCCUUUUUAUAGACAUGGCCAUCACAAUGGCAGUCAAUUGAAAUUUAAAAAGCAGGUGAAAGUUUUCAUUUAAAUGAAGUGGCUUGUGAAAGUAAAAUCUCACACUUUUAAUCUUUGUCUCCUCAUGGGGACGCAGAUUUGAAGAUGGAUCCGAAAGUUCAGUGAUCCUUAUUUUGCAAAUGACAUUAGGCUACCCCCAUAUCUUGUGUUUUACUGAAUUUCUUCUCCAACAUGAUGCAAGAGAUCCAAGCCCAUUUGUAGCCGGCGUCCUAGUGAGUAAAGACAAACUCCCCUAAUCUGAUGAGCAUGUACAAACUCAAGGCUUCACAAUCCAAUCAGCAACCCUGAGGCAAGCCAGAGUUCAAGGAAAGAAGACCAGCUAGCAUGUUGCCUGAGCAAAUGGAAGAAAAUGAGGCUUCCUGGAGAGGUGUGACUGCCUUGCAAAGGGCCCAAUCAAGCACAGCGCAGAAGUGCUGACAGCUGUUCAUAUAUUCACCUGAGUGCACCAAGACGGUCUUCACAGGAAGGUUUAGAGAUAUGUUCACUUCCUUCCAAGUAUCGUACCCUUAAAUAAAGUUAUCACUAUGCAUAGAAGCUUCCCGAAAGUGUUCAGCCAAAACACGACCAACAAAUCCACAGCACCAAUACAUGUGUGGAUAUCAUCCAAUGACAAAGUUCCUGUUUGGGGGAAUUUUCCCUACUAUCUAGCAGUGACCAGUAACUGUAAAUAAUGAGCCAAUGACACAGCAUUAGCAGUAAAGCACAUUCCUGCCUUUACUGCCGUGUGAUAAGGCGUUAUCCUCGUCAACACGGUCACCCCCCUAGAACUCAUUCAGACAAUAUUAAAGCAGUAUGUUAGUUAUCUUUAAGGAGCGUUUCUAGAGGAGAGCACUGGAAGGACACCGACAGAAAGGGAGUGGCUGCAAGAAAAAUGCCCUAUUCACAUAACCUUGAGUCAAAGCAGUUCCAUCAUCAAUAUAUAUACUUAUAUAUAUAGAAGUAUAGAGUUAUGUUGCUGGAUUAUUAGAGGAGCCAAUUGGUGGCGUUAAUUCUGAGUCACAGGGAUGCACUCUGCUGAGAUCAAAAAUAUUUUUCACGGAAAAGGAGUUUAUGCAAUGGCCUCUGCCUUAUGAAAGCCUGGAUUGGUGAGAAGCACAAGUAAAACAUAAAAAUGAAAGCAAACAAAAAAAGGUCAUUAACAUAAGGGGAACACCAACUGACAAGCAAAACAUACUGGUAAUCCAGGUUUUUCACACAGCAAUCAGGGAGAAAAUGCACAGUCCAUCUUUGGUCAAACCCCAACAUGUUAUUGCUUCAACAGUUUGAGUGGUUGUCCCACCCCCUCACCCCACUUUUUUUUUUUAAAGUAUGACAUGGUGUGGAGUUUCCCCAGGCCUGACAAGACCAAUGCAUUCCAGGUGUUUGUUGUAUAAACAAUUUAAUGUUUGGAUAGAACCAGGUUUUUUUUAGCUUUAUUCUCUAAAUUUAACAUUUAACAAGCUCAUGGUUACCCUGACUUGCCCUACAAACUGCUUUAUUAAGUAUACACCCCGAGCAUCAUCUUAAGUAUUAUAAUUAUGAUCAUUUUGAGGUACUUGGGGGCCAUAAAAUCAUGUCUGCCCUCAAGCGAAAUGAGGUCGACUCCCAGUUUCUCGAUUUUGCCUGGACUUUGGCGCAACUGGAGCAGCAGCAUCUCCACUCCUGCUCACAGAAAGACUCUCGCCCAGUGGUUCGUGGACACAACUACAACAAGCACGCUGUUGGUACUGGCGAUGCCUGACAGUACACAACAACACACCAUGGAGCAACAUUGAUUUUUCAAUAAAAACAUGGCACAAAAAGUGA